UACAGAGGGGGCAAGCGUUGUUCGGAAUUACUGGGCGUAAAGGGCGCGUAGGUGGCCUUCUAAGUUGAACGUGAAAUCCCUGGGCUCAACCCAGGAACUGCGUCCAAGACUGGGAGGCUUGAAUCCGGGAGAGGGAUGCGGAAUUCCAGGUGUAGCGGUGAAAUGCGUAGAUAUCUGGAGGAACACCGGUGGCGAAGGCGGCAUCCUGGACCGGUAUUGACACUGAGGCACGAAAGCCAGGGGAGCAAACGGG
Molecule: ribosomal RNA, 253 nt
Filed under: uncultured bacterium
Lineage: Bacteria
Description: partial 16S ribosomal RNA
Rfam family: Bacterial small subunit ribosomal RNA
Source: RNAcentral